GUCUUUCUUAAAGAGACAGACCCCGCACGAAAGGAAAAGUUUGUUUCUAUUCCACUCUCGCUGGGCUUUCGCAAGCUGAAAUUGUCUUACAAAUGACUUGCCCUGAAUCCAGGUGGAAAGACACCAGACAAAGGAAACCUUCCUAGUUCAUAGAUUGAAAGGACAUUCCCAAGUUUUGGAAUAAAUGUGUAAAAUUUGGUUUGCAA
Pantherophis guttatus is the source of this 206-nucleotide long non-coding RNA. RefSeq lists it as uncharacterized. NCBI's taxonomy places the organism in Eukaryota, Metazoa, Chordata, Lepidosauria, Squamata, Colubridae. The record is from RefSeq and is a predicted model, not a curated record.